GCCACCUUAGCUCAGUUGGUAGAGCGACGCACUCGUAACGCGUAGGUCAUCAGUUCAAUCCUGAUAGGUGGCU
RNAcentral lists this transfer RNA (73 nucleotides) under Candidatus Magasanikbacteria bacterium CG10_big_fil_rev_8_21_14_0_10_43_6. RNAcentral describes it as "tRNA-Thr". It matches the Rfam family "tRNA". From Rfam's summary of the family: Transfer RNA (tRNA) molecules are approximately 80 nucleotides in length. The record is from RNAcentral. Lineage: Bacteria; Candidatus Magasanikiibacteriota.